This 462-nucleotide ribosomal RNA is filed under the name uncultured bacterium. RNAcentral describes it as "bacterial SSU rRNA". It matches the Rfam family "Bacterial small subunit ribosomal RNA", at positions 339 to 793 of the family's 1533-position model. The record is from RNAcentral.
UUACGGAAGGCAGCAGUGGGGAAUCUUGCGCAAUGCGCGAAAGCGUGACGCAGCAACGCCGCGUGGGGGAAGAAGGCUUUCGGGUUGUAAACCCCUUUCAGUUGGGACGAAGCUUCGCCGAUGAAUAGUCGGCUGGAGUGACGGUACCUACACAAGAAGCACCGGCUAACUACGUGCCAGCAGCCGCGGUAAUACGUAGGGUGCAAGCGUUGUCCGGAAUUAUUGGGCGUAAAGAGCGUGUAGGCGGCCCGAUUAGUCCGCUGUGAAAGUCCAGGGCUCAACCCUGGAAUGCCGGUGGAUACUGUCGGGCUAGAGUCCGGAAGGGGCGAGUGGAAUUCCUGGUGUAGCAGUGAAAUGCGCAGAUAUCAGGAGGAACACCAAUGGCGAAGGCAGCUCGCUGGGACGUGACUGACGCUGAGACGCGAAAGCGUGGGGAGCAAACAGGAUUAGAUACCCUAGUAC